RNAcentral lists this ribosomal RNA (492 nucleotides) under uncultured bacterium. RNAcentral describes it as "partial 16S ribosomal RNA". It matches the Rfam family "Bacterial small subunit ribosomal RNA", at positions 899 to 1397 of the family's 1533-position model. The record is from RNAcentral.
ACUCAAAUGAAUUGACGGGGACCCGCACAAGCGGUGGAGCAUGUGGUUUAAUUCGAUACAACGCGCAGAACCUUACCAAGGUUUGACAUGGAGGGCAAAGUUGAAGAAACUCAACGGAGGUUAUCCCGACACAGGUGGUGCAUGGUCGUCGUCAGUUCGUGCUGUGAAGCGUACGCUUAAGUGCUAGAACGAACGCAACCCUCAUAUUUAGUUGCUAUCAUUUAGUUGAGAACUCUAAAUAGACUGCUAAGAUAACUUAGAGGAAGGAGAGGAUGACGUCUGAUCAUCAUGCCCCUUAUACCUUGGGCUACACACGUGCUACAAUGGUUAGGACAAAGGGUCGCCAACCCGCAAGGGGGAGCCAAUCCCAAAAAACUAACCUUAGUUCGGAUUGGAGUCUGCAACUCGACUCCAUGAAGUCGGAAUCGCUAGUAAUCGUGAAUCAGCAAUGUCACGGUGAAUAUGUUCUCGGGUCUUGCACACACCGCCCGU